This 347-nucleotide ribosomal RNA is filed under the name uncultured soil bacterium. RNAcentral describes it as "bacterial SSU rRNA". It matches the Rfam family "Bacterial small subunit ribosomal RNA", at positions 26 to 376 of the family's 1533-position model. The record is from RNAcentral.
AGAUUGAACGCUGGCGGCAUGCCUUACACAUGCAAGUCGAACGCGAAAGCGGGGCAACCCGCAAGUAGAGUGGCGAACGGGUGAGUAAUACAUCGGAACAUUUCCAGUAGCGGGGGAUAACCUGUCGAAAGAUAGGCUAAUACCGCAUACGACCUAAGGGUGAAAGCGGAGGACCGCAAGGCUUCGCACUAUUGGAGUGGCCGAUGUCGGAUUAGCUAGUUGGCGGGGUAACAGCCCACCAAGGCUACGAUCCGUAGCUGGUCUGAGAGGACGAUCAGCCACACUGGAACUGAGACACGGCCCAGACUCCGUACGGAGGCAGCAGUGGGGAAUUUUGGACAAGUGGG